UCUGUUCUUCUUUAUUCCUUUUUUUGAAUUCCUAGACAUCGUUUGUGUUGGUAAGGACAUCAUGAUCACUUGUUCGUUUGCUGAAUCUGAUUGCUGGUAGCCUUGCUCUGUUUUAGUCAUAUCCUUGGGUUCUUUGUUUUUCUCUCUGUAAGCAGCUUGACUCAUUCUUGAGUCUGAUACUUGGUGAACACACAUAGGUUUCCAUGUCUGCCCCACCCGUUCAUAGCCCACUGAUUUUGAAACAUGAAACCUGGUUUUCUUGGUUCAUUCCACUUCAAUCUUUUCGUGCUCUGUUUUUGGAUACCUUUUCCGGUCUCUAAUACUUAUUUGUGAAGAACGGGAUGGAAAUUUAUG
This 354-nucleotide long non-coding RNA is filed under the name Vitis vinifera (wine grape). RNAcentral describes it as "long non-coding RNA (VVIN_LNC007824)". Lineage: Eukaryota; Viridiplantae; Streptophyta; Magnoliopsida; Vitales; Vitaceae. The record is from RNAcentral.